RNAcentral lists this ribosomal RNA (477 nucleotides) under uncultured bacterium. RNAcentral describes it as "partial 16S ribosomal RNA". It matches the Rfam family "Bacterial small subunit ribosomal RNA", at positions 30 to 507 of the family's 1533-position model. The record is from RNAcentral.
AUUGAACGCUGGCGGCAUGCCUUACACAUGCAAGUCGAACGGUAACAGGUUAAGCUGACGAGUGGCGAACGGGUGAGUCAUGUAUCGGAACGUGCCCAGUCGUGGGCGAUAACUGCUCGAAAGAGCAGCUAAUACCGCAUACGACCUGAGGGUGAAAGCGGGGGAUCGCAAGACCUCGCGCGAUUGGAGCGGCCGGUAUCAGAUUAGGUAGUUGGUGAGGUAAAGGCUCACCCAGCCGACGAUCUGUAUCUGGUCUGAGAGGACGACCAGCCACACUGGGAGUGAGACACGGCCCAGACUCCUGAGGGAGGCAGCAGUGGGGAAUGUUGGGCAAUGGGCGCAAGCCUGAUCCAGCCAUGCCGCGUGCGGGAAGAAGGCGUUCGGGUUGUAAACCGCUUUUGUCAGGGAAGAAAAGGUUCUGGCUAAUACCUGGGAUUCAUGACGGUACCUGAAGAAGAAGCACCGGCUAACUACGUG